UCGUAACAAGGUUUCACCUAGGGAAGCCUUUGCACCCAUCUCGGGAGGCACCGCGACAUUAAACAAUGGGAUGCCGCUGCAAGUCGAAUUCAUUCGGCAACACAACUAAACUAACGGGAAUUCCAAGGUCACUUGGUAAUCCGUAACGCUGGGGAACAGCGUGCACAGGCUAGAUGGUUGUGGGUUCAGCAUCGCUGGGCUUCAGAUAUAGUCGGGCUUUGCAAGUGAUUGUAGGGAGCACCACCGUUCCGUAGGUGAACCUGCGGAAGGAUCAUUA
RNAcentral lists this ribosomal RNA (277 nucleotides) under Coccomyces circinatus. Its description in RNAcentral is "partial 18S ribosomal RNA". The stretch from base 48 to 235 matches the Rfam family "Group I catalytic intron". From Rfam's summary of the family: Group I catalytic introns are large self-splicing ribozymes. They catalyse their own excision from mRNA, tRNA and rRNA precursors in a wide range of organisms. The record is from RNAcentral. Lineage: Eukaryota; Fungi; Ascomycota; Leotiomycetes; Rhytismatales; Rhytismataceae.